GUAUGUGUCAUUUUUAGGUUUGCCUCUUGGUGUGUCUUAACACAUUUCAUUGGCUUUGCAUAUUGGCCACAGGCAGGAUUUGUGAUCUGUGGGCCUGUCCGCCUGUAACUGUUCAGUGAGCUUUGUUUGUGUCUCUGAAGAGCAGCCAGCAGCCUUAGAGGUGCCGUCCUGAGCUUCUAACAGUAAAUUCUUCUCUUAAGGUUAUUUAAGCAGAUACCGUCCACGUUUGUGUGAGAGAUGAGAAGCCUGAUUGGUGUCAGCACAAUGACCAUCAAAGGAGCAGGCUCUGCUGGUUGCUGAGAAGGAAGCCGGUUGCUGUUCCUUCUGCCCCUCCCUGGUUGAGAUUGGUGUGUUUAGAAUCUGCAGCAAGAAGAUAGCAAAGCUGAAGGCAGAAGUGUGAGCCUGCUAGACGUGGUGAGGAGCCUACGGCCUCCUUCUGGCAUCCAGAGACCAAUGCAGAAAACCACAAUGAAACAAAAGUCAGAGUUGUGGUGCCCAGCGCUAAUGGAUACAUCUACAACACAACUCCUUCACCUAAAGUCCGGGGAUCACUGCAGAGAAGUGGGCAGAAAGAUGGCAAGAGCCAGAAGGACAGGGAGUUUACUGUGAGAUUGUGUCACCUAGCAAUGUCAGAAGGACAGCUGUUCAAAAGCACUUUUUCUGUGUCCUUUCUUUUCCUUUUGAAAAUAAAUCCAUGAGACACAUAUAGCCAUGCAUAU
This 719-nucleotide long non-coding RNA is filed under the name Cricetulus griseus (Chinese hamster). RNAcentral describes it as "lncRNA (ENSCGRG00015031364.1)". The record is from RNAcentral. Lineage: Eukaryota; Metazoa; Chordata; Mammalia; Rodentia; Cricetidae.